Long non-coding RNA from Eptesicus fuscus (big brown bat), 658 nucleotides. RefSeq lists it as uncharacterized. The record is from RefSeq and is a predicted model, not a curated record. The transcript is spliced from 3 exons. NCBI's taxonomy places the organism in Eukaryota, Metazoa, Chordata, Mammalia, Chiroptera, Vespertilionidae.
UAUAGCAGCAUUACUCAUCGUCAACACCUAGAAACAACCUUAAUAUCCUUCUACAGGUGAAUUGAUAAAUUGUAGUGUUGCUGCUACAGUGGAUGCUCAAGAGAUAGAAAGCAACGAGCUACUGACGCAUGCAACACUAUGGAUGAUCCUCAACGCAGCUAAGUGAAGGAAGCCAGUCUCAAAAGGUUAGGAAACAUGUUGAUAUGAAGAUACAUGUUUAAUAGAUGUACUGGGACAAGAACAGAUCUCUCUCCUGACUGCUUCCCUGUUGUAACCUGCGUUUCUCUUGUUGAUGACAACUGACCCUAUUGAAGCCAGAGGUUACUUUCUCCCGUGUGCACAGAAACCCAAAACCCAGAGCACCCAGCGCCCGCUCAGGAGGCCACGCACAGCACCAGGGAAAUUCCACCCCGAUUCAAACCUUACCAAGCCAAUGCUUUCAAAUGAAAAAAUGGCUGUUCCGAAGAAGAGAGAGUAGGUCUUCCAACUUGUUACCAGUGGCAAUUGGCUGGGGUCUGGAAUACCCUAUAGGAAAGAGAUAUGAGGAGUCAGGUGUGUGGUGUGCACUAACCUUGGCAAUGUACUGGGCGAUGAUGAUCAAGCUGACCAGCAUGCUGAUGUUGGCCAACAUAGAGAAGAUGGACAGGACCCUGAGGUU